Molecule: ribosomal RNA, 447 nt
Filed under: uncultured bacterium
Lineage: Bacteria
Description: partial 16S ribosomal RNA
Rfam family: Bacterial small subunit ribosomal RNA
Source: RNAcentral
AGCGAACGCUGGCGGCAGGCUUAACACAUGCAAGUCGAACGCCCCGCAAGGGGAGUGGAAGACGGGUGAGUAACACUUGGGAACGUACCCUUGGGUUCGGAAUACCUGGGGGAAACUCAAGCAAUUCCCGGAUAAGCCCUUAUGGGGAAGGGUUUACUGCCGAAGGAUCGGCCCGCGUCUGAUUAGCUAGUUGGUGAGGUAAUGGCUCACCAAGGCGACGAUCAGUAGCUGGUCUGAGAGGAUGAUCAGCCACACUGGGACUGAGACACGGCCCAGACUCCUACGGGAGGCAGCAGUGGGGAAUAUUGGACAAUGGGGGCAACCCUGAUCCAGCCAUGCCGCGUGAGUGAUGAAGGCCUUAGGGUUGUAAAGCUCUUUUACCCGGGACGAUAAUGACUGUACCGGGAGAAUAAGCCCCGGCUAACUUCGUGCCAGCCGCCGCCGUAA